This 335-nucleotide unclassified non-coding RNA is filed under the name soil metagenome. RNAcentral describes it as "partial contains 5.8S ribosomal RNA, internal transcribed spacer 2, and large subunit ribosomal RNA". The stretch from base 1 to 120 matches the Rfam family "5.8S ribosomal RNA", at positions 35 to 154 of the family's 154-position model. The record is from RNAcentral.
GAUGAAGAACCUAGCGAAAUGCGAUAAGUAAUGUGAAUUGCAGAAUUCAGUGAAUCAUCGAAUCUUUGAACGCACAUUGCGCCCGCCAGUAUUCUGGCGGGCAUGCCUGUUCGAGCGUCAUUUCAACCAUCAAGCCCCCGGCUUGUGUUGGGGACCUGCGGCUGCCGCAGGCCCUGAAAACCAGUGGCGGGCUCGCUAGUCACUCCGAGCGUAGUAAUACAUCUCGCUCAGGGCGUGCUGCGGGUUCCGGCCGUUAAAAAGCCUUAUUUACCCAAGGUUGACCUCGGAUCAGGUAGGAAGACCCGCUGAACUUAAGCAUAUCAAUAAGCGGAGGA